Molecule: ribosomal RNA, 497 nt
Filed under: uncultured bacterium
Lineage: Bacteria
Description: partial 16S ribosomal RNA
Rfam family: Bacterial small subunit ribosomal RNA
Source: RNAcentral
GAUGAACGCUGGCGGCGUGCCUAAUACAUGCAAGUCGAACGAACAGACGAGGAGCUUGUUCCUCUGACGGUAGCGGCGGACGGGCGGGUAACGCGUGGAUCACAUACCUAUAUUACUGGGAGAACUUCGAGGAAAAGGAGCUAUAACCGCAUAAACUAUUUACCCGUGAGAUCAAAUAUUCAUAGACGGUUUUGCGGUCGCUUAUGGCUGGUUCCGCGCCGCAUUAGCUAGUUGGUAAGGUCACGGCUCACCAAGGCGACGAUCCGUAGCUGGUCUGAGAGGAUGAUCAGCCACACUGGAACUGAGACACGGUCCAGACUCCUACGGGAGGCAGCAGUGGGGAAUAUUGGACAAAGGGCGCAAGCCUGAUCCAGCCAUACCGCGUGGGUGAAGAAGGCCUUCGGGUUGUAAAGCCCUUUUGUUGGGAAAGAAAAGCAGCAGGUUAAUACCCCGCUGUUCUGACGGUACCCAAAGAAUAAGCACCGGCUAACUUCGUG